AAAAAGAUCAGGAGUGGCUUGCCAAGUUGAGCAGGGCCCCAAACCUGACACCAAUGCCGGGAGGCGACUGAUGCAGCUCUGCCCACUAGGGCUGAAAAUUUGACCCUCCUGCAAAGAGCAAACUAACUAAAAGAAACCAUUUUACAAUCAAGAACAAAGCACACAAAAUGGCUGAAACAGUUUCACUCCUUCACACAGAAGAUUUAAAUUCUAAAAAUAUGCACUGGAAGCAGAAUGAUAAUUUUCUAAUCCUUAAGAGGGUAAUGUCAACAUCAUGAAGUGACACUUUCCUGAAAUGAGAAUGAACUAGGCACUAAUGCUUAAUACACUGCCAGUCCCAUCUUACGCACACUGACUCAGAAGCAAGGCCCACAGAGUUCAAUAAAGUGAGGCCUUGGCCUUGAAGAGUCCAAGAGCAGAAAAACAGUGGGCAAUGUGAGCCAAAUUUCUUGUUUACGUCAAUACAAUCUAUCUAUCUGUGUGUGUGUCACACAAAGGAAUGUAUGUGCAAUUGACAGCCUUCGCUGAAAUAAACUGGGCAACAUUUCUGGAUGUGGAAACUCCACAUUUGAGGCAGAGCUCCAACAGCUGCAGGAAAUUUUUGGAUCAUGGCGACAUAGCCACAUGACUUGAAGACAUCAAAACACAAGCAGGUUCAUACACACCGGGCCUAAAAAACAAAAACCUCCAGGCACAUCAAGACCAAGCGAAAAACCUGACACUAUGGAUUUUAUCAAGAUAAAUCACUGCUUGCUCCAAAUCACUUCUGUGAGCAAAACUGAACUACCCCUCCAUCUCUUUCCCCACCCCAAAAUCUACACCAGAGAGUUGGGGGGGGACCCCAGGGCAGAUUUGGGAGCACACCGGGGGAAAGAAAGUAAAUGGAAAUUCCACUGUGCUUGCAGAAUUCACUCUGUGCACACAAAGGAUUUGUUUGGACGCAACCCUAUGAAUUUCGAGCAUCUUCCCAACCCUGAUAUACAGGCUGAUCCUAGUUAUUAGCUUAUUAGUUAGAAGUCAGUCCCAUUAACCUCAAUGGAGCUUGCUCUUCAGUAGAAUAUGGAUUGUAGCCAUACACAGUUUUAACCCCUUUUUUAAAAAAACACACAAAAACAAAACACAACCCUUUAAAUAUUUGCUGUAUUUCUACAGCCAAAAUUAUCUAUUCAAAAUUACUCCAUGAAUUAUUCAUCAAAAGAACAGAGAACAGCAACAACAACAAAAACCUACUGAGGGGAGCGAGGGGGAUUUAGUUUUGUUUCAAUUAGUUUGUUUAUUUGUUAUAGUGGUUCUAUGUAUGUUUGCUAAGUGAAGUAUAAAAGUGUACUGCAACUG
Podarcis raffonei (Aeolian wall lizard) is the source of this 1335-nucleotide long non-coding RNA. RefSeq lists it as uncharacterized. NCBI's taxonomy places the organism in Eukaryota, Metazoa, Chordata, Lepidosauria, Squamata, Lacertidae. The transcript has 2 exons. The record is from RefSeq and is a predicted model, not a curated record.